UCAAAUUGGUUUCUCUUCAUAACGCACAAGUCUUUCGCCUUUUACUAAAGACUUCCGUGGAGAGUGACUCCAACGAGUUUAGCCUAUUUUUGGCAGGCUUUGCUCUCUGGCAGAGC
Molecule: small nuclear RNA, 116 nt
Organism: Amphiprion ocellaris (clown anemonefish)
Lineage: Eukaryota; Metazoa; Chordata; Actinopteri; Pomacentridae
Gene: U5
Rfam family: U5 spliceosomal RNA
About the family: U5 RNA is a component of both types of known spliceosome. The precise function of this molecule is unknown, though it is known that the 5' loop is required for splice site selection and p220 binding, and that both the 3' stem-loop and the Sm site are important for Sm protein binding and cap methylation.
Source: Ensembl